RNAcentral lists this ribosomal RNA (636 nucleotides) under Listeria monocytogenes. RNAcentral's name for it is "bacterial SSU rRNA". It matches the Rfam family "Bacterial small subunit ribosomal RNA", at positions 47 to 665 of the family's 1533-position model. Lineage: Bacteria; Bacillati; Bacillota; Bacilli; Caryophanales; Listeriaceae. The record is from RNAcentral.
CCUAAUACAUGCAAGUCGAACGAACGGAGGAAGAGCUUGCUCUUCCAAAGUUAGUGGCGGACGGGUGAGUAACACGUGGGCAACCUGCCUGUAAGUUGGGGAUAACUCCGGGAAACCGGGGCUAAUACCGAAUGAUAAAGUGUGGCGCAUGCCACGCUUUUGAAAGAUGGUUUCGGCUAUCGCUUACAGAUGGGCCCGCGGUGCAUUAGCUAGUUGGUAGGGUAAUGGCCUACCAAGGCAACGAUGCAUAGCCGACCUGAGAGGGUGAUCGGCCACACUGGGACUGAGACACGGCCCAGACUCCUACGGGAGGCAGCAGUAGGGAAUCUUCCGCAAUGGACGAAAGUCUGACGGAGCAACGCCGCGUGUAUGAAGAAGGUUUUCGGAUCGUAAAGUACUGUUGUUAGAGAAGAACAAGGAUAAGAGUAACUGCUUGUCCCUUGACGGUAUCUAACCAGAAAGCCACGGCUAACUACGUGCCAGCAGCCGCGGUAAUACGUAGGUGGCAAGCGUUGUCCGGAUUUAUUGGGCGUAAAGCGCGCGCAGGCGGUCUUUUAAGUCUGAUGUGAAAGCCCCCGGCUUAACCGGGGAGGGUCAUUGGAAACUGGAAGACUGGAGUGCAGAGAGGAGAGUGGA